Molecule: long non-coding RNA, 506 nt
Organism: Helianthus annuus (common sunflower)
Lineage: Eukaryota; Viridiplantae; Streptophyta; Magnoliopsida; Asterales; Asteraceae
Exons: 3
Source: RefSeq, a predicted model, not a curated record
UGGUCGACUAACACAGAGUCAAAACAGAGCUCUGCUCUGGCUCUUUAAAACCCAAAUUCACUACAAUCAUCUCAAAAUCAAAGAGAGAAACCGAAAUUCAAUUGAUUCUAAGCUAAAUUCGUGAUCUUCAUACUUUGUAGAUCACAAGGCAAUUUAGGUGGGUCGUCUAGUAAUCAAGGAGGAUCGGACAACCGUUUGAAAGGAAAGCUUUAAAAGGUAACUUUAGGUAAUAGACGGAUGACAAUCAAGCUAACGAACGAACCGAAUACACACAUAAUUAAAGCUUCCGCCACUAAAUCAACUUUUGUACUAAACUCUUUGAGUUUGUUUUGUCUAAACAUGUAAAUAUAGAACUUAUACUUCGCAAGUUAAGUAUGCAUUAGUGACGUAGAAUGUUCUAAAAUUUUGUAAACUUGGUUUUAGGUUAUGGAACUUAUGUAAAUGUCGUUGUGUUAAUGUUUAAGACAAACGACAGUUGAAUGUGAUAUAUAUAUAAGGUAUUAAAA